RNAcentral lists this ribosomal RNA (253 nucleotides) under uncultured bacterium. Its description in RNAcentral is "partial 16S ribosomal RNA". It matches the Rfam family "Bacterial small subunit ribosomal RNA", at positions 524 to 776 of the family's 1533-position model. The record is from RNAcentral.
UACGAAGGGGGCUAGCGUUGCUCGGAAUCACUGGGCGUAAAGCGCACGUAGGCGGCUUUCUAAGUCAGGGGUGAAAUCCUGGAGCUCAACUCCAGAACUGCCUUUGAUACUGGGGAGCUCGAGUCCGGAAGAGGUGAGUGGAACUCCGAGUGUAGAGGUGAAAUUCGUAGACAUUCGGAAGAACACCAGUGGCGAAGGCGGCUCACUGGUCCGGUACUGACGCUGAGGUGCGAAAGCGUGGGGAGCAAACAGG